AUACAGAGGGUGCAAGCGUUAAUCGGAAUUACUGGGCGUAAAGGGUGCGUAGGUGGAGUAUCAAGUUGGGUGUGAAAGCCCCGGGCUUAACCUGGGACGGUCACUCAAAACUGUUAUUCUAGAGUACGGUAGAGGAUAGUGGAAUUUUCGGUGUAGCGGUGAAAUGCGUAGAUAUCGAAAGGAACAUCAAUGGCGAAGGCAGCUAUCUGGGCUGAUACUGACACUGAGGCACGAAAGCGUGGGUAGCAAACAGGAUUAGAUACCCCAGUAGUCC
RNAcentral lists this ribosomal RNA (274 nucleotides) under uncultured bacterium. RNAcentral describes it as "partial 16S ribosomal RNA". It matches the Rfam family "Bacterial small subunit ribosomal RNA", at positions 523 to 796 of the family's 1533-position model. The record is from RNAcentral.